This 5752-nucleotide long non-coding RNA is filed under the name Arabidopsis lyrata. RNAcentral describes it as "long non-coding RNA (ALYR_LNC001748)". Lineage: Eukaryota; Viridiplantae; Streptophyta; Magnoliopsida; Brassicales; Brassicaceae. The record is from RNAcentral.
GGUCAGGCAGUUUUGGUACUGUGUUUAAGGCAUUGCUGUUGGGGAAACGACACACGAUUACGCAGCGGACUAAAGUUUCACCCGAACUAAUGUGAACCUUGUGAGGAAAAUACAAUGGACUUGGCAGCAAUAACUUCAAAAACUUAAAGUAAAUGAGACCACCAAUUUUUACGUGGAAAACCUUCUCGAUGUGAGAAGGAAAAACCACGGGACCGUAGUCCACUCAAAAUCCACUAUAUCAAAUGUAUGAGUGUUACAACCACAUCCUCCCUGUUCCACAAGAACAGAUACAGAGACUAAGGCUCCAAAGAGCAAUCUCCAAACACAAGAAAAACUCAGCAAGAGAGCAAUACAAGAGCUUAGAAAUAAGCAGUUCCAAACGACCCUAGGUUCGCUAAGAUUCCGGUCACCAAAUCAAAUCUCCACCGUACAAAUCCUAGAUAAACAGGUCAGGAACACCUCUGCAAAAUUUCAGCUCAAACCGAGAAGAACUCACCGUUGGAUCUUCCAAACACUCACGACAUAUGCUGCAGGAAACUCUGGAAAAUCCAGACACAACCAGCCACGCUAAAACUCGGAUUUCUCACAAACCAACCGUUGAAACCAAAUCUCCACCGUUGAAUCUGAAGACCACUGAGUCACGAAGCUACUCUCCAAAAAUCAGCCAAAUCGAAGCUCAUUUGAGUGUCCAAACGUUCAGAGAAGCAAAAUCGUUUUUUCUUCUCCUCUUCCUCCAAAACUCUCUUUUUUUUUUUUUUUUUUCUUUCGUGUUAUGUUUUUCUUGCCGACACUUUCUUUUUCUUCUUUUUAUAUAUAUAAUAUAUAUAUAUAUAUUUUUCUCCUCCACUAGGAGGAAUAAACAACAAACUCCCCCUCCGACUAGGUGGAGGAAACAGCCAUUCCGGCUAUCUCUCGGCAUACUUCAAGCUUCCCUCUCGGCAAUGACUUAGUCAUCAUAUCAGCUCCAUUAUCAUCCGUAUGAACUUUUGCAAGUUCCACUUCCUUAGAAGCAAUCACAUCACGUAUCCAAUGAUACCUUCUGUUAAUGUGUUUCGAACGCGAAUGAAAUGUAGAGUUCUUUCCAAGAUGAAUUGCGCCUUCGUUAUCACAAAGCAAUACAUAAUUAUCUUGCUUGAAACCGAGAUCCUCAAGAUAAUUUUUCAUCCACAACAACUCCUUACAAGCUUCUGUUGCGGCUAUAAACUCAGCUUCAGUGGUAGAAAGUGCAACACACUUCUGUAACCUUGAUUGCCAUGCCACAGCUCCCCCAGCAAAUGUUACCAAGUAACCCGAAGUAGACUUACUGGAAUCAGGAUCCCCAGACAAAUCAGAAUCAGUAUAACUGACAAGUAGUGGCUUAUCACCUCCAAAAGUAAGCUUCAGAUCAGAAGUCCCUCGAAGAUAUCUCAAAAUCCACUUCACAGCAUUCCAGUGUUCUCUUCCAGGAUUGGAGAGAAAACGACUAACUGUACCAACAGCGUGAGCUAUAUCAGGUCUUGUACAGACCAUAGCAUACAUCAAGCUACCAACUGCAGAAGCAUAUGGAACCCGUGCCAUAUCUUCUUUCUCCAACUUUGUUUUCGGACUCUGUUGACUGUUCAAUCUAAAGUGUGUAGCAAGAGGAGUGCUAACAACUUUAGACUUGUCCAUGUGAAACCUUUGAAGUACCUUUUCAAUGUACCUCUCCUGAGAUAAGUAAAUCAACUUCUCAUCUCUAACUCGAACAAUUCUCAUACCAAGAAUCUGUUUCGCUGGACCCAAAUCUUUCAUGGCAAAGGACUUUCCAAGCUGGUUCUUCAACUCUUGAAUUCUGCUCAAGUUCUUGCCCACAAUCAACAUGUCAUCAACAUACAAUAGCAAGACGAUAAAAUCAUCUUCACCAAACAUUUGCACAAACACACAAUGAUCAGAAGUAGUCUUCUUAUAACCAUGCUCCCCCAUAACUGACUCAAACUUCUUAUACCACUGCCUUGGUGCCUGUUUCAAACCAUAAAGACUUUUCUUCAAGCGACAAACUAAAUCCUCUUUGCCCUUUUUCACAAAGCCUUCCGGUUGUACCAUGUAAAUCUCUUCCUCCAAAUCUCCAUGAAGAAAAGCAGUCUUUACAUCCAUUUGCUCAACCUCUAGAUCAAGGCUCGCUGCCAAUCCAAGUACAACCCGAAUGGAUGACAUCUUCACAACAGGAGAAAAGAUUUCAUCAUAAUCAAUCCCCUUCUUUUGGCCGUACCCUUUCACAACCAAUCUAGCCUUGUAUCGAGGUGACAAACUGGUCUCAUCAUGCUUAAUCUUGUACACCCACUUAUUAAGCAAUGCCUUCUUGCCCUUAGGCAAUUUCACCAACUCAAAAGUAUGGUUCUCUGCAAAAGAAUCCAUCUCGUCACCCAUGGCAUCAUGCCAUUCAUCUUUGUGUUCAUCCUCUAAAGCUUCAUCAAAGCUCUCAGGUUCUCCCCCAUCAGUAAGUAGCACAUACUCACUAGGAUCAUACCUUGUCGACGGUUUUAGACCUCUCUCAGAUCUUCUAACAAUAGGAGGGUUCUCGGUAGUUGGUGUCUCACCAUGAUCGUCAUCAUGAUCACCAAUACCAUCAUCAUGUGCGGGAGCAUCUGCACCAGGUGUAUCAACUUGAACCUCAUCCUCGACCUGACCGUGAACCGAUGUAGAAGGAGCAACCACUGAAUCAAUCAAACUCUCAUAACUCUGAGUUGGAUUUCCGGACUUGUCAAUGUCCUUAAUCGUUUGAUCUUCCAUGAACACAACAUCUCUGCUCCUAAUGAGCUUCUUCUCAACGGGAUCAUAAAAUCUGUAUCCAAACUCAUCCUGACCAUAACCAAUGAACACACAUUGUCGCGACUUCAUCUCAAGCUUCGACCUUUCAUCCUUGGGAAUAUGAACAAAUGCCUUACACCCAAAGACCCUCAAAUGACCAUAAGAAACGUUCUUACCGGUCCACACCCUCUCUGGAAUUUCACCCUCCAAUGGAGCACUCGGUGAUAGAUUCAGCACAUGAACAACCGUGCUUAAAGCCUCACCCCAGAAAGUCAUCGCCAAGCCUGAUUGUGAAAUCAAACAUCUCAUUCUCUCGACAAUAGUUCUGUUCAUCCUCUCAGCCAACCCAUUUAACUGUGGAGUCUUAGGCGGCGUGAACUGAUGUCUAAUACCAUGUUCCUUGCAAUAAACAUCAAAUGGUCCAGAAUACUCACCACCAUUAUCACUGCGGAUACACUUCAACUUCUUUCCCGUCUGUCUCUCAACCAAUGCCACAAACUGCUUGAAGUAUCCUAGAACCUGAUCUUUCGUCCUCAUAGUAAAAACCCACAACUUCCUUGAAUGAUCAUCAAUGAAAGUGACAAAAUAUGAUGCACCACCAAGAGAUUUUGUUUUCAUUGGACCACACACAUCUGAAUGAACCAGAUCAAGUACCUCAGGUUUUCUAGAAGGUGCAGAAGACUUGAAAGAGACCCUGUGUUGUUUUCCCCGCAAACAAUGCGCACAUUUCUCCAAGUGCAAACCGGAGAUACCUGGAAUAGCUUCCUUCUUAGACAACACAGACAUUCCCUUCUCACUCAUGUGACCGAGUCUCUUAUGCCACAAUUCCAUGGCAUGAUCAUUCUCCAAAGCAUUAACACUGUCUUUGGAGACCUUAGCCUGCAUCAAAUAGAAAGAUGAAAGCUUCUCCCCUCGAGCCACAACCAAAGAACCACGUGAAAGCUUCCAUUUACCACCGCCGUGUAAACUGUAGAAACCUUCAUCAUCAAGUCUUCCCGUAGAUAUCAAAUUCAUCCGAAGAUCUGGGACAUGCUUAACAUCUUUAAGCAUAAGUCUAGUCCCAAUACUAGUCUCCAAGCAAAUAUCACCAAUGCCAACAACCUGAGCCAAACCAUCAUUCCCCAUCUUCACAGAACCAUAACUACCCGGAGUAUAGGUAGAGAACAAAUCCCGCUGUGAUGUAGCAUGAGUAGUAGCUCCACUAUCAACCACCCAACUGGUGUCUUGACAUACAUUAAUGGCAUCAUCUUCAAGAAGAAUGAGAAAUUGAUCGUCAGUGAUUGUCACACGAUCUACUUCUUCUUGCUUCCCUUGCUGCUUGUCUUUCUUCAACUUCCAGCAGUCUUUCUUUAUGUGCCCUUUCUUAUGACAAUAAUGGCACUCUAAAUUCGCAAAUUUGUUAGAUUUGUUCCUGCUCCUGUUCUUGUCUUUCUUGGGAUCUCUAGAUGAACUCCUCCCCCUUGACUCAGUGACUAACACAUCUGAUCUUGAGGAACUAGCAUUUGACUGCCUUCUAUUUCGCUCAUUCAAACACUGUGCUUCACCAUAUCCAUCGAAAUAACACCAUUCGAAGUAGAGUUACAAAGAGACAUCCUAAACACCUCCCAUGAAUCUGGUAGUGUACCAAGAAGCCACAGACCGUGAAUCUCAUCCUCAAACUUGAUUCCCAUAUCAGACAGUUUAUUGAGCAGCCCCUGAAAUACAUUUAAGUGAUCAGUCAUUGGAGUUCCCUCCUGAUACCUCAACUCAAUCAACUUCUUGAUCAUGUACAUCUUAUCAUUCCCGGUCUUCCGAGCGUACAAUUGCUCUAGCUUCAACCACAAAGAACGAGCAUCAAUCUCAUUUUCAAUAUGAUUCAACACAUUAUCAUCUACCCAUUGCCUUAUCAAACCACACACUUGGCGAUGUUGCAACUUCCACUGAUCAUCAGUCUUCUCUACAGGUUUCUUCUCCUCAAAGACUGGAACAUGAAAUUCUUUCACAAAAAGCAAAUCUUCCAUCUUGCCUUUCCAUAGAUGAUAAUUAGAACCAUUCAAGCUUAUCAUUCUACCCAUAUUUUCCAUCCUGCCCAUAUUUUCCAUUGCUCACAGAAGCAAAUUAAUAACCCAAAGUUAUCAAACCCAAAGCUCAAAACCAAGAAGCUCUGAUACCACUCUGUUGGGGAAACGACACACGAUUACGCAGCGGACUAAAGUUUCACCCGAACUAAUGUGAACCUUGUGAGGAAAAUACAAUGGACUUGGCAGCAAUAACUUCAAAAACUUAAAGUAAAUGAGACCACCAAUUUUUACGUGGAAAACCUUCUCGAUGUGAGAAGGAAAAACCACGGGACCGUAGUCCACUCAAAAUCCACUAUAUCAAAUGUAUGAGUGUUACAACCACGUCCUCCCUGUUCCACAAGAACAGAUACAGAGACUAAGGCUCCAAAGAGCAAUCUCCAAACACAAGAAAAACUCAGCAAGAGAGCAAUACAAGAGCUUAGAAAUAAGCAGUUCCAAACGACCCUAGGUUCGCUAAGAUUCCGGUCACCAAAUCAAAUCUCCACCGUACAAAUCCUAGAUAAACAGGUCAGGAACACCUCUGCAAAAUUUCAGCUCAAACCGAGAAGAACUCACCGUUGGAUCUUCCAAACACUCACGACAUAUGCUGCAGGAAACUCUGGAAAAUCCAGACACGACCAGCCACGCUAAAACUCGGAUUUCUCACAAACCAACCGUUGAAACCAAAUCUCCACCGUUGAAUCUGAAGACCACUGAGUCACGAAGCUACUCUCCAAAAAUCAGCCAAAUCGAAGCUCAUUUGAGUGUCCAAACGUUCAGAGAAGCAAAAUCGUUUUUUCUUCUCCUCUUCCUCCAAAACUCUCUUUUUUUUUUUUUUUUUUUCUUUCGUGUUAUGUUUUUCUUGCCGACACUUUCUUUUUCUUCUUUUUAUAUAUAUAAUAUAUAUAUAUAUAUUUUUCUCCUCCACUAGGAGGAAUAAACAACAA